RNAcentral lists this unclassified non-coding RNA (493 nucleotides) under Hevea brasiliensis (rubber tree). The record is from RNAcentral. Lineage: Eukaryota; Viridiplantae; Streptophyta; Magnoliopsida; Malpighiales; Euphorbiaceae.
CUCGUAGUCACCAAUAAAACCAAGUCUGUUUCAGCAACACCCACUUCAACAUAUUCACGUGGAAGCUGCACACCACCAUCUUGUCCACAAGCAGAAUAUCCACUUACCCGCAACUUUCCCUUCACAGGCUCAACAGCCAAUGCUCUCCUAAACCAAUCAGCUGUCUGCCCCAAUGCCUUGUGGAGGCGGUGCCUUUUAUCCUCCCCAGAUAUAUCAUCUGAAGUGCAGUUAUACCAGCAGUCACCAUAAAUUGGAGGGUUACCAUGAGGAUUGCAAGGAGUGCCAGGAAGAGAAGUCACAGGAGGUUCCCCAAGCUUCACAAUGUCACCGACUUUUCGACAGUCUCUAUCAGGUGAGUGUCCAACAGCAUCAUAAUUUAAAAAAAUUCUAAUAGGUUGCUUUGCAUCCUUUUGCUGCAAUUGCAAUUCCGAAAUUCCAAGCAAUGCCCUCCCUUUGUGAUGAAGGGAUUUUGACAUAGCAGUAUGAUCAUAAA